RNAcentral lists this ribosomal RNA (18 nucleotides) under Euphausia lucens. Its description in RNAcentral is "partial 5.8S ribosomal RNA". The record is from RNAcentral. Lineage: Eukaryota; Metazoa; Arthropoda; Malacostraca; Euphausiacea; Euphausiidae.
AACCAAAAAUACAACUCU